CAUCUGGGGGGGGCCGGUGUCUGGAUGAAGAGCCCCAAAAGUCUGGGUGAGGAUCCAACAUCUGGAUGAGGACCUUGGUGAUCGAUGAGGGCCCCCAACAUCUGGAGAGGGACCCCAGCAUCUGGUGAGGGACCCCAACAUCUGGAGAGGGACCUCAACAUCUGGGUGGGGGUCCAACAUCUGGAGAAGGACCCCAACAUCUGGAGAGGGCCAACAACAUCUGG
Corapipo altera (White-ruffed manakin) is the source of this 224-nucleotide long non-coding RNA. RefSeq lists it as uncharacterized. Lineage: Eukaryota; Metazoa; Chordata; Aves; Passeriformes; Pipridae. The record is from RefSeq and is a predicted model, not a curated record. The transcript has 3 exons.